CCCUGAUUCAUGAGAAUUCUAGGCAGCUGCAGCUCAAUUGUCCAUUUGCGCUCUUGAGCAGCCUCCCCAGUUCUACUUUCCACUGCAUCUAAGAUUCUCCUCAGUCAGAGCAACUCCCUCAGCUAGAGCAACUGUCAGCAACUGCCAGUGGUCUCAACUAACUGGUGCUAGCCUCCCUGGAUUGGUGGAGAGUUUUCAAAGGAACUGGAAGAAUUCCGAGUGGGUGCUGUAAAUCCAUCCCAUCUGCCUUGGUCAUUCUGGUUGGGCAGAAAAGCAAGAUUUAUACAUUUUAAGGAUUUGGAAAUGACAACCUACAACAGACACGAUUACCAGAUGGAGGAGAUUGAAGGCAGAAGGAAAUAUGAGCUGUUGAGUCAGGGAGAUGUGCAAAAUUUAGUAGGUUUGCAGUGGGAAUCAAGGGACAGUGAGAGAUGUAGAGGAGCUGUUAUAUUCUGCAAGAGUGGAUGCACAGCUUUGAAUACCAGCAUGUUCCUGGUUCCUCAGCAUCGGAGAGUGCCUUCCAUCCACAGAGGAGCUGGCCAGCUGCUUGCAUCAGAAAUGGUCCCACUUCACCUCUAAUGAACUAACACUUUAAUGAACACAAUUCCCCUUUGCAGAACUUGCAUUUUGUAUCUUGAACUGAACUCGUGGAAAGAGAAAAAACUCCUCAAAAGUCAGGAUUUCUCACUGUACCUAUUUGGCUUUUCUUGAUCAGGCAGCAUUAAUGUAGCUGUUUUGUGACUUUAUCUGUCUGCAAUUAUAGGUGUAUCAUUUUUCUGUUUCAUGAAGCCAUCUUUUAAUCUGCUUGAAAUAUCAGAUUAUGAUGAUGUGCAUAAGAGGUUUUAAAACUUCUUUUCUUUUGUACAAUGCUUCAUGUAUUGAAAGCACACAGGGCAUGAACACACGUUAUGGUUUAUUUACCCAGAGGGAUAUGCCUGCUCUCCCCAGAUUAUGCUGGAUGUAAGCCAUGGCUCUCUCUUAAUAGAGUCAUGGUUGCCUCCAGUGAAUACUCACGGAGAUAGCUUGUAGUUAUCUGGAAGAAAUGUAGCAUAGCAUAUUUCCCUUCAUACUUGAGUUAAAACAACUUAAAUAUAACCUGUGUAAUGUAAUGGAAGGCAGGGAGAAAACUCACAUGGGAUCUGCUGU
Molecule: long non-coding RNA, 1146 nt
Organism: Sphaerodactylus townsendi
Lineage: Eukaryota; Metazoa; Chordata; Lepidosauria; Squamata; Sphaerodactylidae
Exons: 4
Source: RefSeq, a predicted model, not a curated record